GUGGGAUCGCCGGGACGUCUGGAGACAGGCGCCCCCUUGUGGUCGGUGUACAGGUGGUGCAUGGCUGUCGUCAGCUCGUGUCGUGAGAUGUUGGGUUAAGUCCCGCAGCGAGCGCAACCCUUGUUCUGUGUUGCCAGCAUGCCCUUCGGGGUGAUGGGGACUCACAGGAGACUGCCGGGGUCAACUCGGAGGAAGGUGGGGACGACGUCAAGCCAUCAUGCCCCUUAUGUCUUGGGCUGCACACGUGCUACAAUGGCCGGUACAAAGAGCUGCGAAACCGUGAGGUGGAGCGAAUCUCAAAAAGCCGGUCUCAGUUCGGAUUGGGGUCUGCAACUCGACCCCAUGAAGUCGGAGUUGCUAGUAAUCGCAGAUCAGCAUUGCUGCGGUGAAUACGUUCCCGGGCCUUGUACACACCGAAU
This 419-nucleotide ribosomal RNA is filed under the name uncultured Actinomycetes bacterium. RNAcentral's name for it is "bacterial SSU rRNA". It matches the Rfam family "Bacterial small subunit ribosomal RNA", at positions 981 to 1395 of the family's 1533-position model. Lineage: Bacteria; Bacillati; Actinomycetota; Actinomycetes. The record is from RNAcentral.